Long non-coding RNA from Anopheles funestus (African malaria mosquito), 2666 nucleotides. RefSeq lists it as uncharacterized. The transcript is spliced from 2 exons. The record is from RefSeq and is a predicted model, not a curated record. Lineage: Eukaryota; Metazoa; Arthropoda; Insecta; Diptera; Culicidae.
GGUUGUUCUAACAUGCAAGGGACAAAAGGUAAAAUUAUCAAACACGGCCGGCAUAGUGAACUUAGGAAAUGAUUGUGCGAUUAAAACGGACAGCAAGGAAGUAAGAGCCACGAUUAUAAGAGGAAGAAAGAAAAAACUCUUCUUCCAAAAUAAUCAAACCCAAGAGCCAUUAGGUCAAACGCUAAUUCCAACUGAACACUACGCUCUCGCUAUUGCGAUUUCAUUUAAUGUUUUGUUGAUCUUAGUAGGAGUUACCGUCGGGGUAACGUUCUACAGGAGAAGAAACAAACAAGACGUGCCUAUCGAACAGUUAGAAAUAGAAGUAAUCGCGGAACCAUCACCUAACCCAACGGAACAACCCAAACCCAAGUUCAAACCACCGUUUAAGCAGCGAAAUAAGGUAAUCCUAGGAUCGAAUUACGAGGGGGAGAAUGUUGCGUGCCCAACGCGCGCAUAAACGGUUCGUUGCAAAAAAGCUCAAACGUAGCGUUUUUUGGUAACACACGACGUGCGCAUGAACGGCGUAAGCCACCUUUCAUGUAGGUUGCUUACAAAACAUUCCUAACGCCACAGAAGCGCUGACGCUUUCCAAAACAUUCUACACCGCGGAAGCGCUAGCCGUCGGCGUACGCGAGGCAUGGCCGUUCUAGUUACGUCGUCGUAAGUAGGUUAGGGUUCCUACGUUCAGGUUCAGGUUCAGUUAACAAAUAGGAAGUAAGUAACAAAUAGGAAGUAAGUAAGUAAAUAAAUAAAUAAUAAGUUAAGUUAAGCUUGUAAACCAAUUCUUGAGUAUAUAAGGAGUGCUCGCACUCGAAAUAAAUUAAUUGCAAACCAGAACUAGAGAGUCUUUCUCUUCAGCUUUCAAGCUUCCAGGUUUCAGUUCACCCGGGACGGCUCGAAGUGUUGGCAACCCAACUCCCCCCUCUUGCGGCAUAGGUUCUCGAUCGCGAAGAACAACUAGCGGAGAGGUUUGUCAUUUCGACUUGGGAGACGGGAUCAUCAACAGCGUUCGAGUUCGCUCCCCAUCGGUUGACGGUUGGGGCUAAGGUUCAGAGUGGCCAUUUCCUUUGCUUGGUCGAACCUGUAGUCCGCCGCGCAACAGCCAGUUUCAACCUGAACGGGAAGAGUCUGAGAUGAACCGCCAAAGGGCGUGUUAACCGUCAGGUUGGAAAUUAUAACCAACCAAAACUAUAUUGUGUUCUUAUUUCAAGAGCUUCGAGAGUCCCCCUACCCAAGGUAAGGCCUCGAUGUCUCCAUCAAUCCAGUAAGGGAAAUCUCUUCCAGAUUUCUAUGAUCGCCUGGACGAUCAAGUCCGCCCGAAUGAAGAAGUUUGUCGUCCGAACGAAAAGUCGUUGAUACCGUGAUAAGAUUAACCUUGCGCAAAUCGAUAAAUGUGACGCGGGUACGUACGGAAACGCGAAGGUAGCAAUUGUACGCGCGAGCACAUUACAUGGCGACCGUGACAGGACGCUGCAAUCGUCGGUAGAAAAAAAAUCGCAUCGCGUGAUCGUGGUAAAAAGUAAACACAGCAUGUGCGUAAAGUGAACAAUAGAAAAAGUGAUAUGAAAAAUAAAAACAGUGCGCAAGCUACGAGGUGCUGUAGUAAAACGUUAAGGUGAACGAAAAGUGCAACGCAGCGAAGUUGUAACUGAAACAGUGAGGUGUAACGCAGCGAAAAAGUGUAACCAUUUCUUGCAAUAAAUAAUCGGUGAUGCAAAAUGGGUGGUUCCGUGCAUAAACCAGAAGCAAAAGUAAAUGGAGAUCAUGAUAUAACGAUCAUCCAAAAUCAAGAAACACAUACGGAACAACACCUAACGCAGGAAUUUAAAUUGAAUGUAUUGUGCAUAAUGGUGACCUUUUUUGUAGUGUUAAAAAUUGUUAAACCACUGUACAAGUUAAUGUUGAAACAAGCGAGGAAACACGCGACGGUGUCAUUCCUUCCACAGUGAAAAAAAAGUGAUUAGCUCGCAAUUAACAAAAUACGCCAAAAAAGUGAACUCAUAGCAGACAAUCAGAACAGAAAAAGUGAAAAAUCAAUAUUUAGUGGUGCAGCGCAAAUAAGUUUUUUUUAAGUGAAAAUUGACAAUAUAAAAAUGGCAGUCAAAACUCCAACCUUCAUCAAUCAACCCCUAACAACAAACAUCGAUGGAGCUAAUCAACAACCACGACGAGGAGGAUAAUCGGGAAAACGAUUCCGAGCAGGAAGAGGAGCGUUGGAACCUAUACGUCAGAGAGCGGUUCGGCCCCAGCUACGAUGAAGUGGACGAAUUGAUAACGACCAUCACGGAAGAGAUGCUGAAAAUAGAGAAGGAGAGGUUCUAGCCGAUAUGGGACAACUUCGGAAAGAUAGUAUCAAGGUACCAGCUUUUCCAACUAACAAAAAAAGAAACGUUCGCUCAGUUAAUAGAAAUGUAUAUUUCCCUGUGGGAAUAAAAUAAAAAAAAAAAAACUAAAAAAAAAUUUUUUUUUGACCUUAAAUCCGAAAGCCGCCUUGAACAAAAAUUCCACCUUGAAAAAAAAAAAUAAUAAUAAUAAUAAAUAAAUAUUUGGAUGACAAAGGAAAGAAAUUUUUUUGCACAAAGCAUCUUACCAGACCUGACUUAUAUAUACAAACGAAAGUAAUAAAAGAAAUUACUUACAAAAAAAAAAAAAGUUCGAUUUUUUUU